AGAAAAAUCAGUAAAACUUUCAACAGAGUACAAAAAAAGUAGAAAAUAAUUUCUUUUUAUGCUGAUUCACCAGCAUCAAGAUAUUUGAGAGGAAGCACAAAACAGAAUAACUCAUUUGAAAGGGAACUCAAAGCAGGCCCAACAGCCUGCAAAAGCCUACAAGCAACAUGCAAAAGUAGUAUGUGAAAAGGGCUAAUGGACAGUAGUAUAAUCAACUUUCAUCCUCCUUUUUUGAGUCCUUCAGAAAUUUCAAGAGACAAACGGUUCUUCACAUUUCACCAGUGCAAAGCAGAACAAACAUGCCUACUUGGAAAUGCAACACUGUCUGCAGCAACUAGUAAUUAAGGAUUAACCUCAACUUUCCCUCCUUGAUCAAGAGAUAGAAGCAUCACUCUUACGUGCAGAAGCUGAGAGAGCUGUGACUGUUCAGCCUGAGGAAGAGAAGUCUCAGGAAAUCUUAUCAAUGUCUGUAAAUGCCUGAAGGGGAAGCACAAUGAAGAUGGAGCCAGGCUCUUUUCAGUGGUGCCCAGUGCCAGGACAAGAUGCAAUGGGCACAAACUGGAACACAGGAUGUUACCUCUGAACAACACAAAGAAAUUCUCUGGUGGAGCUCUGGCACAAGUUGCCCAGAAAGGUUGUGAGGUGUCUUCCUUGGAGAUCUUCAAAAGCUGCCUGAUCUGUUGAGAUUAUAUAGUUCUGGUCUUGUUAGCAUAGUUAACAAGAGUAAGUAGGAAAAAAAAACAUUCUGUCCAUUCAGUGAUAUUGAUUUUUUUAAUAGACUCAUUUCAGUAUACUAGUGCAUUUUGUAUAAAUUGCUAAGGAACACAUUUGAAAAAAAACUGAUGAAUGACAUGUGAGAGUAUAUAUAUGGUUAAAAACUAUUACACAGUGUGAAAUGUGUCCUUGCAAUGUUAUUAAGUGAACUGGCUUCAUUACAAACAUAGUAUAAUCAUCAUGGCUGAUGGAGCUUAAAAAAAAGAAUUAAUCACAGUUUGUUUUGGUUCAGCAAAGAUAGCUAUGUCAAAGGUUUCAUAUUUAGCUACAAAGAUUUAGACCGAAGGAGUGCAUAAGG
RNAcentral lists this long non-coding RNA (1072 nucleotides) under Phasianus colchicus (ring-necked pheasant). RNAcentral describes it as "lncRNA (ENSPCLG00000000012.1)". Lineage: Eukaryota; Metazoa; Chordata; Aves; Galliformes; Phasianidae. The record is from RNAcentral.